RNAcentral lists this transfer RNA (67 nucleotides) under Loxodonta africana (African savanna elephant). It matches the Rfam family "tRNA". From Rfam's summary of the family: Transfer RNA (tRNA) molecules are approximately 80 nucleotides in length. Their secondary structure includes four short double-helical elements and three loops (D, anti-codon, and T loops). Lineage: Eukaryota; Metazoa; Chordata; Mammalia; Proboscidea; Elephantidae. The record is from Rfam by way of RNAcentral.
GGUGGCAUGGUGCUUAAGCACUUGGCUGCUGACCAAAAAGUUGGUGGUUCGAACCCACCAGCCACUC